This 522-nucleotide ribosomal RNA is filed under the name Triticum aestivum (bread wheat). RNAcentral describes it as "partial small subunit ribosomal RNA". The record is from RNAcentral. Lineage: Eukaryota; Viridiplantae; Streptophyta; Magnoliopsida; Poales; Poaceae.
GCCAUCUCCGCGGCCUCGGCUGCCAAGAUCGUGGCGCGCCGCGCCUGGGGCGAGGGCUCCGCCCCCUUCCUCUUCCUCCGGGCGCUCACGUCCGCUGCCUGCAAGGUCUGCACCUACGGCUUCCUCGUCCUACUCGUGCUCGCCGUCCUGCUGUUGUGCGGCCUGUGCGUGGCGUACGUAAUCGCACUUCUAUCUGGACGCGGUACAGAAUUCAAGAAGCGUGCCCUGGGAGCAAUCACGUGGGAUUCGGUUGCGAACUCGUUUAGGCUACCCCGCAUGGCGGUGCUUGGGUUCAUCACAGUUGUGCCCUUCUUCGUGCUAGUUGUCGCCGGCCUUUUGUUGGCAAUGAUGUCGCAUGUGGAGGGAUCGGUAUCUCGGGGAGAAAUGGUAGGUUUUGUAAUCGUGGAUGUGGGGUUUUUUGGAAUGCACGCGACGUCUUGCAUUCUUAUCAUCCCAGCUCUAGCACUUGGCGCCUGGAGGUCCGACCAGGCGGACAGGAAAGCACAGUCGCAGUCUUGUUGA